Non-coding RNA from Vicia faba (fava bean), 222 nucleotides. The record is from the annotation of a GenBank genome assembly. Lineage: Eukaryota; Viridiplantae; Streptophyta; Magnoliopsida; Fabales; Fabaceae.
AUGCCUUGGUUGCCAGAGGCACGGUGGUUCUGGCGGAGUUCAGUGCCGUCACCGGCAACACAGGCGCCGUCGCUCGUCGGUUACUCGAGAAGCUUCCUACCGAAUCGGAUUCCAGACUUUGCUUCUCUCAAGAUAGAUAUAUCUUCCACAUACUCCGAUCUGAUGGCCUCGCGUACCUUUGUAUGGCCAACGACACCUUCGGAAGAUCAGUAUUCUUUCUAG